Long non-coding RNA from Scatophagus argus, 209 nucleotides. RefSeq lists it as uncharacterized. The record is from RefSeq and is a predicted model, not a curated record. Lineage: Eukaryota; Metazoa; Chordata; Actinopteri; Scatophagidae. The transcript is spliced from 2 exons.
CGGGGACCUCUCUUCUUGGAACAGCAUAUCAUGUGGUCAUGGAUGGUUCCACCUUAGUCAGACUUACUGUGUUAAAAUCUUUCUGACUCCCAAAACCUUUGAUGACGCACAGAAACAUUGCCGCUCCUUAAAUGCUAAUCUGAUGUCAGUACACAGUAAUAUUGAGUUUGUACUCAUGAAAUCUUUGGCCAAUAGUGCUGGAAUUCAUG